RNAcentral lists this ribosomal RNA (253 nucleotides) under uncultured bacterium. RNAcentral describes it as "partial 16S ribosomal RNA". It matches the Rfam family "Bacterial small subunit ribosomal RNA", at positions 524 to 776 of the family's 1533-position model. The record is from RNAcentral.
UACAGAGGAGCCAAGCGUUGUCCGGAUUGACUGGGCGUAAAGCGCACGCAGGCGGACGCGCGCGUGGGGUGUGAAAUCUGGCCGCUUAACGGCCAGGCGCCAUCCCAUACGGCGUGUCUGGAGUGAUGCAGAGGUCGGUGGAAUUGCCGGUGUAGUGGUGAAAUGCGUAGAGAUCCGGAGGAAGACCGGUGGCGAAGGCGGCCUGCUGGGCAGUUACUGACACUGAGGCGCGACAGCGUGGGGAGCAAACAGG